GGCAUAAGACAGGACCAGCUAAUGUGAAGUCAACUCUCAUAGUUGCCCUAGCCCACCAGAAACAGUUUUCAAUCUUCACGACUACAUUAUUAGCAUUCCACUGAAUGCUAGAAGAGCGAAAUUAGCCCACCUCACAAAUUGAAGUAAAUUAACACCUCUGAGAUUUAUGGCUAUAAAUUUGGAUGAUAUACCAGGGCAUGUUUCAGCUUCCUUAUGAGCAUUUCUGGUUCGUUCUGUGAUCACUGAAGAGAAUGGAGAGCAUUUCUGCCAUAAAUCUGGUUCUUGUAAAAAUGUGCCUGCACCAGAGAUAAUCGUCAACCAUCAGACUAAAAUAUGCAGAGUUUCAAUACUGGUAAAUACAAGGGCAUUUCUGCCUCUUUGACGGGAUAAAUCUUUGGCCCUCUUGGCUCUAUCUGUCGGAAGUUGCCAGAUUUCAUAAAUAGACUUCACCGGUCAGUGUCAGUAAACAAAGUGAUCGAUCAAUCUAGAUUCCUAAGCUACUUGUUUUUCCUGCUCUUCCUCUCCAUUUUAUCCAUGGGUACUACUACUGUAUACCCCAGGCUCUCAUUUUUCGUGCUAAUGAUCAUGCUAGUAGUCAAUCAGCUCUCAAGUGGCCGCUUCAUUCACAGCAGAACAAGUGAAGAACCAGGGAAAACAGUCGAAACUGAUCUUUCUUCCCACUUCUCAUGGAAAUUCAAAGAAAUGGUUCGAGAGAGAUCUAGCAAAGAUGAGUCAGACACAAUUUAUCGAGUUUCUCGUCGAAAAAUCCCAGCAGGACCAAAUCCACUUCACAACUGAAGAUAUGUAUUUGUCAAUGGUGUUCUAGUGAUGCAGACAUACAGCAGUUUAUAAUAUUGCUAAAGGAUGCAUUUUCUGGUGGGGCUAUCACAGCCUCAGUGAAGAUACAAGGCUUUUAUGUAUUUUCUCUGUUAGUUUGGCAGAGGCAGGUCAAACUUCAGUACUUCAACUCCCAAGAUCUGAUGCUGAGUCCUCAGUACACAACGACAACAGUUGAUCUCUUGUAUUGGUUCUAGCCACUAGCUAUAGUUCUCUUCCCCCCCUCCCUAAAAUACACUAUGCCUUGAGAAGAAGUCAGGAAUCAAAGAAUGCUCAGUUUGACUCCCUGAAUUUACACUGAGCAAAGCCCAUGAGCAGUCAUUUUUACUUUACUAUUUCAUUAGUAAAAUUGGCUUAACAUUUUUGUUCUUUUUGAAAAUGAAGGGAAUUCCUCUCUCUAAGUCACAGUGCAUGCAAGGAUCCAAGAUGUAGCUAGCAUGAUUUUAAAAAUAAAGGCAAUUCAAACAGUUUAAUUAC
Molecule: long non-coding RNA, 1314 nt
Organism: Populus nigra (black poplar)
Lineage: Eukaryota; Viridiplantae; Streptophyta; Magnoliopsida; Malpighiales; Salicaceae
Exons: 2
Source: RefSeq, a predicted model, not a curated record